GAGUGAACGCUGGCGGUAGGCCUAACCCAUGCAAGUCGAACGGCAGCCCAGUAAGAGCUUGCUCUUACGGGUGGCGAGUGGCGGACGGGUGAGGAAUACAUCGGAAUCUACUUUUUCGUGGGGGAUAACGUAGGGAAACUUACGCUAAUACCGCAUACGACCUACGGGUGAAAGCAGGGGAUCUUCGGACCUUGCGCGAUUGAAUGAGCCGAUGUCGGAUUAGCUAGUCGGCGGGGUAAAGGCCCACCAAGGCGACGAUCCGUAGCUGGUCUGGGAGGAUGAUCAGCCACACUGGAACUGAGACACGGUCCAGACUCCUACGGGAGGCAGCAGUGGGGAAUAUUGGACAAUGGGCGCAAGCCUGAUCCAGCCAUACCGCGUGGGUGAAGAAGGCCUUCGGGUUGUAAAGCCCUUUUGUUGGGAAAGAAAAGCAGCAGGUUAAUACCCCGCUGUUCUGACGGUACCCAAAGAAUAAGCACCGGCUAACUUCGUG
This 493-nucleotide ribosomal RNA is filed under the name uncultured bacterium. Its description in RNAcentral is "partial 16S ribosomal RNA". It matches the Rfam family "Bacterial small subunit ribosomal RNA", at positions 27 to 507 of the family's 1533-position model. The record is from RNAcentral.